AUGGAGCAGUGCGAGGAUCGUGGCGGGCGGUACCUGAGGCAGGUCUCGCAAAACUUGAGCUUCACUGUGAAGCCAUUCACGUUGACAUCCUUGGUACGGCGAAACCUCAUCCGUGGGGUGCCCCCGACGCUCCACUCCAUCGAGGGUGUGGCGGGGAGGUUCCGUUCAUCAGCUUCAGGCGGCGGGGCUCUUGUGUUUCGUGGCACUAUUCCUGGGUCCCUGGCCGAUGUCAUGAACAGGAAGAACAGGUCCUGCAUUUUUUGGCAAACAUCACAAGGGUUGUUCAGCGUUGCAUCUGAGCUGAUGAAGAAGGUGACACCGAAGGUAUGCAGACAACAAGAUGAAGACUAA
Molecule: ribosomal RNA, 351 nt
Filed under: Triticum aestivum (bread wheat)
Lineage: Eukaryota; Viridiplantae; Streptophyta; Magnoliopsida; Poales; Poaceae
Description: partial small subunit ribosomal RNA
Source: RNAcentral